UACGGAGGGUGCAAGCGUUAUCCGGAUUUACUGGGUUUAAAGGGUGCGUAGGCGGGUUGUUAAGUCAGUGGUGAAAGAUUCGAGCUCAACUCGAGAACUGCCAUUGAUACUGACGAUCUUGAAUAUAGUUGAGGUGGGCGGAAUGUGUCAUGUAGCGGUGAAAUGCUUAGAUAUGACACAGAACACCGAUUGCGAAGGCAGCUUGCUAAACUAUUAUUGACGCUGAGACGCGAAAGCGUGGGGAGCGAACAGG
Molecule: ribosomal RNA, 253 nt
Filed under: uncultured bacterium
Lineage: Bacteria
Description: partial 16S ribosomal RNA
Rfam family: Bacterial small subunit ribosomal RNA
Source: RNAcentral